This 301-nucleotide ribosomal RNA is filed under the name uncultured bacterium. RNAcentral's name for it is "partial 16S ribosomal RNA". It matches the Rfam family "Bacterial small subunit ribosomal RNA", at positions 509 to 807 of the family's 1533-position model. The record is from RNAcentral.
CAGUAGCCACGGUAAAACGUAGGGUGCAAGCGUUAAUCGGAAUUACUGGGCGUAAAGCGUGCGCAGGCGGUUAUAUAAGACAGAUGUGAAAUCCCCGGGCUCAACCUGGGAACUGCAUUUGUGACUGUAUAGCUAGAGUACGGCAGAGGGGGAUGGAAUUCCGCGUGUAGCAGUGAAAUGCGUAGAUAUGCGGAGGAACACCGAUGGCGAAGGCAAUCCCCUGGGCCUGUACUGACGCUCAUGCACGAAAGCGUGGGGAGCAAACAGGAUUAGAUACCCCCGUAGUCCCUGUCUCUUAUAC